GACGAACCGUGCGAACGUUGUUCGGAUUCACUGGGCUUAAAGGGCGCGUAGGCGGGCGUUCAAGUCUGGGGUGAAAUCCUUCGGCUCAACCGAAGAACAGCCCCCGAUACUGGACGCCUCGAGGGAGGUAGGGGUCGAGGGAACUUCCGGUGGAGCGGUGAAAUGCGUAGAUAUCGGAAGGAACGCCGGUGGCGAAAGCGCUCGACUGGACCUCUUCUGACGCUGAGGCGCGAAAGCCAGGGGAGCGAACGGG
This 253-nucleotide ribosomal RNA is filed under the name uncultured bacterium. Its description in RNAcentral is "partial 16S ribosomal RNA". It matches the Rfam family "Bacterial small subunit ribosomal RNA", at positions 524 to 776 of the family's 1533-position model. The record is from RNAcentral.